CAGCAGCCGCGGUAAUACGUAGGGUGCAAGCGUUGUCCGGAAUUAUUGGGCGUAAAGAGCUCGUAGGCGGUCUGUCGCGUCGGCUGUGAAAACCUGGGGCUUAACUCCGGGCCUGCAGCCGAUACGGUCAGACUAGAGUUCGGCAGGGGAGACUGGAAUUCCUGGUGUAGCGGUGAAAUGCGCAGAUAUCAGGAGGAACACCGGUGGCGAAGGCGGGUCUCUGGGCCGAUACUGACGCUGAGGAGCGAAAGCGUGGGGAGCAAACAGGAUUAGAUACCCUGGUAGUCCACGCUCGUAAACGUUGGGCGCUAGGUGUGGGUCUCAUUCCACGAGGUCCGUGCCGCAGCUAACGCAUUAAGCGCCCCGCCUGGGGAGUACGGCCGCAAGGCUAAAACUCAAAUAAAUUGACGG
Molecule: ribosomal RNA, 411 nt
Filed under: uncultured rumen bacterium
Lineage: Bacteria
Description: bacterial SSU rRNA
Rfam family: Bacterial small subunit ribosomal RNA
Source: RNAcentral